GAUGAACGCUGGCGGCGUGCCUAAUACAUGCAAGUCGAGCGAACAGACGAGGAGCUUGCUCCUCUGACGUUAGCGGCGGACGGGUGAGUAACACGUGGAUAACCUACCUAUAAGACUGGGAUAACUUCGGGAAACCGGAGCUAAUACCGGAUAAUAUAUUGAACCGCAUGGUUCAUUAGUGAAAUACGGUUUUGCUGUCACUAAUAGAUGGUUCUGCGCCGCUUUGGCUAGUUGGGAAGGUAACGGCUUACCAAGGCAAGGAUGCGUAGCCGACCUGAGAGAGUGAUCGGCCACACUGGAACUGAGACACGGACCAGGCUCCUACGGGAGGCAGCAGUAGGGAAUCUUCCGCAAUGGGCGAAAGCCUGACGGAACAACGCCGCGUGAGUGAUGAAGGUCUUCGGAUCGUAAAACUCUGUUAUUAGGGAAGAACAAAUGUGUAAGUAACUAUGCACGUCUUGACGGUACCUAAUCAGAAAGCCACGGCUAACUACGUG
Molecule: ribosomal RNA, 497 nt
Filed under: uncultured bacterium
Lineage: Bacteria
Description: partial 16S ribosomal RNA
Rfam family: Bacterial small subunit ribosomal RNA
Source: RNAcentral